RNAcentral lists this transfer RNA (85 nucleotides) under Tenacibaculum sp. MAR_2010_89. RNAcentral describes it as "tRNA_Leu_TAG". It matches the Rfam family "tRNA". Rfam says of the family: Transfer RNA (tRNA) molecules are approximately 80 nucleotides in length. Their secondary structure includes four short double-helical elements and three loops (D, anti-codon, and T loops). The record is from RNAcentral. Lineage: Bacteria; Pseudomonadati; Bacteroidota; Flavobacteriia; Flavobacteriales; Flavobacteriaceae. RNAcentral also lists the same sequence under 1 other name.
GCGGGAAUGGUGAAAUUGGUAAACACGCUAGAUUUAGAAUCUAGUAUCGAAAGAUGUGAGAGUUCGAGUCUCUCUUCCCGUACUA